UGGAGACACACUGAGGACAGCACUGUUACAAGUGGGCAUGGGCUUUUAUUCUCAGUGCACGGCAGUAUUGGUUUCUGCUCAUCAGCAAAAAGCUUUAUUGGUUCCAAAAAAUUAUCCCUUUUAAAACUCCUAUUCUUUCCAUCUCAGUGGAAUAAUACAUUUACAUUUCAAAUUUGCCAGUUUAUAGCAUUUUUUUUUCUAAGAACCGUAUAAAUACAUGCAAAACAUUGUACAUAGAGCUUAAAUAAUAUCAAAAUGCAAAUACAGAUUGGGUGCACUGUUAAGCUGAAUUGUAAAUUACGGCCACACACACGGGGGUAACUGCUUUGAUAUCACCAUUUGUUUGUUUAUGUCAUGCAGACCACAAUAGUCAAUCUUUUGUUUUGUUUUUCCUUUUUGUACAAAAAUACCAGUGCUUAUUAUACUAGUUACUGAAAAAAAGAAGAAACUUAAAAUUCCUAUGUGUGUGCUGAUCUGAAAAGAACAAUGUAGAUAGAUUUGUUGGCACAUAUAUAUGGCAUAUUCACAUAUGGCAUAUAUACAUAUGGGGAGAAAACAUAAACCAGGGGCCAAUUCAGUUACAGGGAGCUCAUCUGCCUCCAUCUCUCCUAAUCAAGAGGAAGGGGGACAGCAGUCCUAAGAGCAGGGUUGGGAAGACAAAAGGACUGGCACUAAAUGGAAGGGUAUCUGAUCUAUUCUGAGGAAGAGGCUGGAAUGGCUUAAGAAUAGCAGGCAUUUAUAAGUGGCCACCCUACCAAUGCAGUGGGGGGGGGCCCUCAAUACGAAAGGCAAGGCCAUGUGCACAUUGUGAUGGUACCAUGGGCUGCUUCAGUCGAAGGCAAGGGAAGCAGGAAAGAAAGGAAGGAAUGCAUUUGGAGGUUUUCUGUUCGGCACAUGGCACAUGUGAGUUUGCCACACCCCUCUGGGUUUUCAGCAAUGGGGUAAUCACUCAGAUUUAACUGUGUAAACUCUCCCCUCUGAAGCUCAAGGGGAAGAAGAAACCCAAACCCUAAUGAAUCUACAGGUGUCCAGAGGGAUUUCUAGGUGAUUUCUCUGUUAACACCUUUAGAGAUGGGAGAGUCAUUUCAGAGGACGGAAGACACCUAUGAGAAGGAUCUCUCCCCAAGACUGUCACCCAGGGCUAGGAACAGCCAUUGUUUUUUCCAUUUAGAGCUCUGUUCCCCAACUAAUAUACUGCACACAAUCUUUUUAGGGGAAAGAAGGAGUCACAAAUCAGAUCCUUGCACAAAAACUCACUAGUGGAGAACUCUAAGCAGAACAGGAAGUGAAAGAACCUUGAAAAUGCAAAGCUCAAAUCAGAGUAUCCUUACAGACUAGGAGAUAUUAACGUUUUUGGUACUGUGCCAGCUUUUAUCCACGAAUCACAAAUGCACUGAAGGCCUCUGAUCCUAAUCACUAGUUACAGAAGAGCCUGUCAAUCUAUUUCCAUGGGGGAGGGGAAGGGCAGGGGAGGGGGGGGGAGGGACACAUUCAUUUCCUGACAGCUGUGUCCCUUCUUGCUGGAUGUUUUACUUACUAUCUGUGGUUUACUACCCGUUUUUCUAGGUUUAUCAAGAGAAGAAUCCAGGAUGAUAUUUUCUCCUUCUCCCCAUCAGACACUUUUCAAAUCAAAAGCACCAUUUUGGGGAAAAGCAUUAUUAACUUAUGCCAUAUUUACUCACUGCCGGUUGGAUCACUGAAACUGAAUAGAAAAAAUGUUAUAUAAAAAACAUAUGCACAUAAACACUUAAACUUACUCAAUUCCAUAUCAACAAAAUUUAUAUUAAAAAAGUCUAGAACCCAACAGUUUUUCCCCCCUAAGUAUAAAGAUGGCUGUUUGGAGAAAAGAAGUAUGGUGUAUUGGUUUUAAAACCAGUUACAAAUAUACUACGUCACUGGUCAUGUCAAGCAGCUGGUCAUGCUCUCCCUUCCACAGGGUUACGAGACGGCACUUUAUGUCAAAUCCUUUAAACAAAAUACAUAUGGCUGACUCAAAAUUAGUUUCUGAUCUAAAGAAAACUAUAUGUUUUUGCAUAAUAUGUCUAUAUUUUCUCUCCUACUACGGAACACAAGAAAACCGUUGACUUUUAAGAAAGUAGACACAAUCCCUCAAGAGUAACCUGCCAGGCACCGUGAGAGUCUUCUGGGAAUAGGAACGGCAAAACAGCCUCCAGAGCUUGUUAUUGGCUUGCUUUUAAGAAUGAUCUUGAGGUAAUAAAAGAUCUGACAGGAUUAAAUCUUCCAAUGUACUUAAUAAAUAUGUAUGGGUGAGCUGUUCUUUCCCCCAUCAGUAUUUAAGACAGAAAAAAGAUUCCGAAGCAUGUACCCUUUGCAAAGCCAAAAUCGAAUUUGUUUAGCUGUUUCGUACAAUGAUGGAUUAUGCAGCGAUGCCACGUGGAGGAGUUUGUGUCUUUGCUCUUCCUAACUUGGACAGCUCGGGUGAAAGGGCUAAGGGAGGUGGGAUUGAGAAGAAAAGGCUGGAGUGGAAAGGUUCAGGUCACCUUCCUCUCACACAUGGAAAUUUGGCAGCUCAUAAGAGCCUCCACCCCCUUUCCUUACUCCUGUUACUCUAGAAAAAGGGGAUGGACUUCAUUUAUGUAAUAGAAGGUGGGGAUCAGGGACAUGAAUUAGCCCCUGCACACAAGAGCUUAAGUCAACACCAGAAGGGAUAAGAAUGGAGUUCCUGCAACGUGGCUCCACCCUGUCCCAGUAAGGAACACUUAAAAGUCUCCUAGCAAAGUCCCCAGCUCCUGACACACAGAUGGGAAGAGGAUGCUUUGGGCAGCUUUCAGGGGAAAAAGGCACAGGACUUCCCAGGGCAGCAGCUAGAGCACGACUGUGGAGAGGGCAUGAGUGGGGUGUGUGAGAAAGGAGAAGAGGGGAGGAAGGGAAGCUUUUCAGGGUGGGUCUUUUGCUUCUGGAAGUCAGCAAAAUGUCUCCGGGGCCUCCCACUUUGGACGCAUGUUUUGAAAAUCAGAAUAUUUGAGAAAGGCUGGGACCUUCUCAGAGACUGGACAAGUUGUGGGACUUGAAAGAGAAUGUCAAGAUUUCUGGUCCUUGCAGGAAGAUUUUCUCGGAUUCUGCUAGAAUGGCUCUUAGGCCUCUCCCAAGACUUCUCAACACUCACCCCUCCCAACAAUCGGGUGCUGCCCUGGAAGAGCCUCGGCGGAUGGCUUUGAAAGCAGUGGUCCCCCCAAGGAGGACCCCGCAAGAGUCUGCUUUGAUUGUCAGUCUUGUCCUAGACCUGCCAGCUUCUGGUCCUUAACAGCCAAGGCCAGCUAGGAGGCAGGGUCACACCCAAUUCACUCUUUUGACACAUUUUAGGAACAGGAGAAAGCUCAGGCCUAUGGUAAAAACUGUAUCCCACACAAAUGCAAGCUUCAUGUCAAAGCUGAUCUCCCUGGACUUAAAAACCACACAUACCUGACAAGAUGGCAGUUUAGAAGUAGAAGGUAACCUGGCAACAACAAGGAAACAUUUUUACCAGCUCUUAAUUGCUUCAAAAGGACACUUUUAGCAAAGAAACCUGUCUGCUGGUAGAACUAAUCCAGGUGCUAUUGGGGCCAAAAGGGAGAACGGCCAGUUUACUCAAUUCACACAUGUCCUUUCCAUUUUCUUAAUCAUCACAACUUAAAAAAAAAAAAAAAGGGUGAAGGAAAGGAAGACAAGGGUCA
Long non-coding RNA from Galeopterus variegatus (Sunda flying lemur), 3674 nucleotides. RefSeq lists it as uncharacterized. NCBI's taxonomy places the organism in Eukaryota, Metazoa, Chordata, Mammalia, Dermoptera, Cynocephalidae. The transcript is spliced from 2 exons. The record is from RefSeq and is a predicted model, not a curated record.